ACAGCCCAGAUCACCAAUUAAGGCCCCUAAAUAAUUACUAAGUGUGAAAGGAAGUGAUAAUGCAUAUACAACCAGGAGGUUGGCUUAGAAGCAGCCAUCCUUUAAAAAGUGCGUAAUAGCUUACUGGUCAAGUGUUGUCGCACCUAUAAUGUUAGGGACUAAGUAAUUUGCCGAAGUUGUGAGUCUUUUUGACGGUAGGAUAGCGUUCUAUAUAAAUUUGAAGUAAAAGUGUAAGCGAUUAUGGAUUAAAUAGAAGUGAGAAUGUCGGUUUAAGUAACGAAAAUUUUGGUGGGAAUCCAAUACCCCGUAAACCUAAGGUUUCCUUCGCAAGGUUCGUCCGCGGAGGGUUAGUCAGGUCCUAAGGUGAGGUUGAAAAACGUAAUCGAUGGAAAACAGAUUAAUAUUUCUGUACUACAUUAAGUCAUACCAGGGUUGACGGAGGAGGCUAAGUUGGCCAAACAUUGGAUGUUUUGGUUUAAAAUUUUAAGGUGUUGAGGAAAUUAGUGGUAAUGGCGCUAUUCUGAGCUGAGAAUUGAUAAAUAGACACUACGGUGUUGAAUUAACUGAUGUCACACUUUCUAGAAAAUUCCUAGCGGUGGAAGUUUAAUGACCUGUACCGUAAUCCGACACAGGUGGGUGAGUAGAAUAUACUAAGGGGCGCGAGUUAUUUCUGCUUAAGGAACUCGGCAAAAUAGCUUUGUAACUUCGGGAUAAAAAGUGCCUUGUUUGGUUUUACAAGGUUGCAGUGAAUGGACCCAAACGACUGGUUAUCAAAACCACAGGUCUCCGCUAAGUAGAAAUACGAUGUAUGGGGGCUGACGCCUGCCCAGUACUGUAAGGUUAAAGAAGUUGGUUAGUUAUACGAAGCCGAUGACAUAAGCCCCAGUGAACGGCGGCAAUAACUAUGAUUGUCCUAAGGUAGCGAAAUUCCUUGUCGGGUAAAUUCCGACCUGCACGAAAGGCGUAACGAUUUGGGUACUGUCUCAAGCAGAAGCUCGGUGAAAUAGAAUUAACUGUGAAGAUGCGGUUAACUUGCAUUUGGACAGAAAGACCCUGUGAAGCUUCAAGGUAAUUUGGUAUUGUUUUCUUAUUUUUUUCGCGCAGUAUAGGUGGGAGACAAAGAUACUUUUUUUUCGGGAAAAGUGAGUCGUAAGUGAGAUACCACUCUAAAAAAAUGAGAAAUCUAAAGGUAUUUCUUUUUUAUAGUAGUAUUAUCGGAGUACUUGACAGUGUCAGACGGGCCUUUUUACUGGGGCGGUAGCCUCCUAAAGGGUAACGGAGGCGCACAAAGGUUUUUUCAAACUAUACGGAAAUUUGUUGUUGAGUGUAAAGGCAUAAAAAAGCUUGACUGUAAGACUUACAAGUCGAACAGGGACGAAAGUCGGUCUUAAUGAUCCGACAGUUCUGCAUGUGAAGGCUGUCGCUUAACGGAUAAAAGUUACUCCAGGGAUAACAGGCUGAUCUCCUCCAAGAGUUCACAUCGACGAGGAGGUUUGGCACCUCGAUGUCGGCUUAUUGCAUCCUGGGGCAGUAGUAUGUCCCAAAGGUUAGGCUGUUCGCCUAUUAAAGCCGUACAUGAGCUGGGUUCAGAACGUCGAGAGACAGUUCGGUCCAUAUCCGAUGCAAGCGUUAGAGUAUUGAGAGGAUUUUUUCCUAGUACGAGAGGACCGGAAAAAACACACCAAUGGUUUACCAGUUCUUGUGCCAAUGGGAAAUGCUGGGUAGCUACGUGUGGGUGGAUA
Molecule: ribosomal RNA, 1742 nt
Rfam family: Bacterial large subunit ribosomal RNA